Molecule: non-coding RNA, 285 nt
Filed under: Phascolarctos cinereus (koala)
Lineage: Eukaryota; Metazoa; Chordata; Mammalia; Diprotodontia; Phascolarctidae
Source: RNAcentral
GCCAGGCAUGAUAGUGCAUGCCUUUAAUCCCUGCUAAUGCAAAGGCUGAGGCUGGUAGAUUAUUGGAGCUCAGGAGUUCCGAGCUUUAGGAGGGAUAAAGCCAUUCAGGUGUCUGGACUAAGUCCAACACUAGUAUGAUGAACCACCAGGCUGCCUAAGAAUGAGUGAACUGAAUCAGGUCAGAAAUAGAGCAGGUCAAAGCUCCCAUGCUGAUCGUCCAUGGGAUUGGGCCCCUGUGUGACAACUGCACUUGCAACCUGGGUGAGAUAAGAAGAACUAGCCUCA